AUGGCUGAGUGGUAAAGCACUUGGUUUCCAAAGCCAGGGUCCCGGGUUCGAAUCCUGGU
Biomphalaria glabrata is the source of this 59-nucleotide non-coding RNA. The record is from Rfam. NCBI's taxonomy places the organism in Eukaryota, Metazoa, Mollusca, Gastropoda, Planorbidae.